This is a non-coding RNA of Pelobates cultripes (western spadefoot toad), 302 nucleotides long. The record is from the annotation of a GenBank genome assembly. Lineage: Eukaryota; Metazoa; Chordata; Amphibia; Anura; Pelobatidae.
AAUAUUGGGACAUAUAAAAAAGACAACUCUGUUCCGCAGAGUAGCUGUUGACAUUAUAGUUGCGCAGGUACUUUGUUGACUCUAGAGAACCUCGGGCCAAUCGCACAUCCCCGUUACGGCGGCUUUGCAUUUGAAUGUCAUCCAUAUCAACUUUCCAUGCCAGUUUCUGCACCUACCACGGUGACCACGGGCAACAGGGAAUCAGGGUUCCAUUCCGUACAGGGAUCCUGACAAAUGGCUACCACAUGCAAGGAAGGCAGCAGGCGCGCAAAUGACCCACUCCCAACCCGGGCAGAUAGUGA